This 251-nucleotide ribosomal RNA is filed under the name uncultured prokaryote. RNAcentral's name for it is "partial 16S rRNA". It matches the Rfam family "Bacterial small subunit ribosomal RNA", at positions 525 to 775 of the family's 1533-position model. The record is from RNAcentral.
ACAGAGGGUGCGAGCGUUAAUCGGAGUUACUGGGCGUAAAGCGCGCGUAGGCUGGUAUUUAAGUCAAUUGUGAAAUCCCCGGGCUCAACCUAGGAAUUGCAGUCGAUACUGAAUAUCUUGAGUAUGGAAGAGGAAAGUGGAAUUCUCGGUGUAGUGGUUAAAUGCGUAGAUAUCGGGAAGAACACCGGUGGCGAAGGCGACUUUCUGGACCAGUACUGACGCUGAGGCGCGAAAGCGUGGGGAGCAAACAG